Molecule: ribosomal RNA, 421 nt
Filed under: Arca navicularis
Lineage: Eukaryota; Metazoa; Mollusca; Bivalvia; Arcoida; Arcidae
Description: partial 12S ribosomal RNA
Source: RNAcentral
CGUUACUCCUUGGUGUUAAGUAAGAAUUUUGUUUUUCUGCUAGGCGACUACGCUCCUAUACGAGUAAAAGUCGAAGUACUUGGCGGUCCUAAAUAACCGUCCCGCGAGACUUGACGGUUAAUCCGAUAAUCCGCGUUUCACCGUACUUAUCCUUGAAUAAUAAAAGACAGUUGGUGUAUGGCCGUCGUCAGUUUCCCCUCCGAGGGAGUCUUAAAAAUAGGAAGCAGAAUCUUUUACUUAGAUUAGGUAGGAGAAGAAGUCAGGUCGUUAUCCCGCCGAUGGGUAAGGCUUAGUUGAGUCACUUUUUGUAAACAUACACGGAGGGGAGGGGGAAGAACCUCCCAGUAGAAGAAGGAGUGGGCAGUAGCUUUAUCAUUAGAACGGUAAGGUGAAUAGAGAACUUCUGGGCGUACAAAUGCCC